GCCAGUGUGGUGUAGUGGUUUGAGUGUUGGACUACAACUCUGGAGAUCUGAGUUCAAUUCCCAGCUCAGCCA
This 72-nucleotide transfer RNA is filed under the name Phrynosoma platyrhinos (Desert horned lizard). RNAcentral describes it as "tRNA-OTHER". Lineage: Eukaryota; Metazoa; Chordata; Lepidosauria; Squamata; Phrynosomatidae. The record is from RNAcentral.